Molecule: ribosomal RNA, 868 nt
Filed under: Suillus grevillei
Lineage: Eukaryota; Fungi; Basidiomycota; Agaricomycetes; Boletales; Suillaceae
Description: eukaryotic LSU rRNA
Rfam family: Eukaryotic large subunit ribosomal RNA
Source: RNAcentral
UAACAAGGAUUCCCCUAGUAACUGCGAGUGAACCGGGAAAAGCUCAAAUUUUGAAUCUGGCGGUCUUUAUGGCCGUCCGAGUUGUAAUCUAGAGAAGCGUCUUCCGCGCUGGACCGUGUAUAAGUUUCCUGGAAUGGAACGUCGUAGAGGGUGAGAAUCCCGUCUUUGACACGGACUACCAGGGCUAUGUGAUGCGCUCUCGACGAGUCGAGUUGUUUGGGAAUGCAGCUCAAAUAGGGUGGUAAAUUCCAUCUAAAGCUAAAUAUAGGCGAGAGACCGAUAGCGAACAAGUACCGUGAGGGAAAGAUGAAAAGAACUUUGGAAAGAGAGUUAAACAGUACGUGAAAUUGCUGAAAGGGAAACGCUUGAUGUCAGUCGCGUUUGUCGGGGAUCAGCCUUGCUCUUUUGCUCGGCGUACUUCCUGGCGAACGGGUCAGCAUCAGUUUUGUUCGUCGGAAAAUGGCUCGAGAAAUGUGGCACUCUUCGGGGUGUGUUAUAGACUCGGGUCGAAUACGACGUUCGGGACUGAGGAACUCAGCACGACCUUCGGGUUCGGGGCUUAGGCCCACGUUAACGUGCUUAGGAUGCUGGCAUAAUGGCCUUAAGCGACCCGUCUUGAAACACGGACCAAGGAGUCUAACUCGCAUGCGAGUGUUUGGGCGAUUAAAACCCGAGCGCGUAAUGAAAGUGAAAGUCGAGACCCCUGUCGUGGGGGGCAUCGACGCCCGGACCAGAGCUUCUGCGACGGAUCUGCGGUAGAGCAUGCGUGUUGGGACCCGAAAGAUGGUGAACUAUGCCUGAAUAGGGUGAAGCCAGAGGAAACUCUGGUGGAGGCUCGUAGCGAUUCUGACGUGCAAAUCGAUCGUCG